AUGAAAGGAGUGUGUUGUGUGACCACAGUGAGACACCACCACUCAGUCCUCCGCAAAAGAGAUUCCUGCAUGAUUUCCCAUCAGCCCCCCCACCGCCCAAUGCGCCGACGACACACUGUGGUGGUCGUCCAGUGCAGAGAUGACACAUCCAGGCCCCUGACAGCCCACAACAGCCUAGUGUCCACAGCCGAGCAGGUAGCACCAGGGUUCAGAUACCUGGGAUCCACAGCCAGCUCCAGGGCCAAACUAAGCCAGGAUUCCUCCACCUCUAGCCAGGACGAGAAAGAGAAGCUGUCCUCCUCUUCCGCUUCAGGCCCCCAGGAACCUGCCCCCCUGUCAUCGUCUGGUCUGGAUCUCGGUAGCACCAAAUCUGAUGCCCUAAAGGACCAGGCCAGCAGUGCAUCAUCUCAACAUCAUUUACCUGCAGACAGCCCUUUGACCACGCCCACUGGUGUGAUGUCAUGGGGCGCAGUCAGGGGGAGAAGCAUCAGCAGCCUUGAGGAGACGCUUACAAAUCACAACCAAACAUUAGUUCAGAGCCCAGCCCCCAUGUCAACUAUUACCAUGCCCAGCACCUGUGACAUCAUAAGCAUCACUCCUGACACCAACAUGUGCCCUGCUCCCAGGACAACAGAGGAGGCUCCUGAAGAAUCUGAGAGCAGAAUCCUGACCCAUCCAGUGUCAAAAAAUUACGUGUCAGACUUGUCUGUGGGACCUGAUUCAUCCUCCUCUGUCCUGCCCACUUCUUCCUCUUCUCCUCUGUCAGAAAGACUCCAUCCCUCUCAGACAGGUUCAGGUUCAGGUGAUGAGUCGAUCAGUCUGCAGCAAUGUCAGCAGGUCAUCUCCGAGCUGCGACAGACGGCAAGACAAGCAGUACGCCUCUACCAGCAGCUUGGCGUGUUGCAUGAUGUUCAGAUGUCGUCUGUUCUGCUGGAGGGUUUUGAUGCCGUUCGCACGGAGCUGCAGGCGGUGUUGCAGGGGGACGGGCAGAGCAGCAGCGCCCCCUCUGGUGGACCUGAGGUCGACAGGACUGCUGCUCUCCUAGAGAAAUAUUCAGAGCUGCUGGUUCAGAUGGUUCAGAACAAACUGAACUGAAUCUGAACCACUAUCAAAGACUCUGCUGUUGCCGGCACAGGGGCUGAAAGAGUCCAAAACUCGCUUUGAGUACUGCUGUUCAUUCAGGUCCACAACUGACGCGGUUUAUAAAUAUCAGUAUUAUUUUAAUGCACCUUAUGCCUGAUUUUAUUUGUUUAAUAAAUGUUUAAUACGUCAGAGACUUUAAUAUUAUUUAUUCCACACUUCAAAUGUUUUUAUUUUCAGCUGCAUUAUUG
Molecule: long non-coding RNA, 1331 nt
Filed under: Mastacembelus armatus (zig-zag eel)
Lineage: Eukaryota; Metazoa; Chordata; Actinopteri; Synbranchiformes; Mastacembelidae
Description: lncRNA (ENSMAMG00000027237.1)
Source: RNAcentral